RNAcentral lists this non-coding RNA (29 nucleotides) under Mus musculus (house mouse). The record is from RNAcentral. Lineage: Eukaryota; Metazoa; Chordata; Mammalia; Rodentia; Muridae.
UCUCAUGAACAUAUUGAGUUGGUUGACCA